Molecule: ribosomal RNA, 292 nt
Filed under: uncultured bacterium
Lineage: Bacteria
Description: partial 16S ribosomal RNA
Rfam family: Bacterial small subunit ribosomal RNA
Source: RNAcentral
GUGGAUUAGAUACCCUAGUAGUCCUGGCAGUAAACGGUGCGCGUUUGGUGUGGGAGGAUUCGACCCCUUCUGUGCCGGAGCUAACGCGUUAAACGCGCCGCCUGGGGAGUACGGUCGCAAGAUUAAAACUCAAAGAAAUUGACGGGGGCCCGCACAAGCGGUGGAGUAUGUGGCUUAAUUCGAUGCAACGCGAAGAACCUUACCUAGCCUUGACAUGCAUCUCUAAGUCGGUGAAAGCCGGCGACUGUAGCAAUACAGAAUUUGCACAGGUGCUGCAUGGCCGUCGACAACU